UUGAAUCCCAACCCCACUUAAUGGGGAGUGGGACCCUUGGAUUUUGUUGAUCCAAAGGUCAAGAUGUGAUCAUUUUUAUAGGUAUGGUGAUCAGAAUUUUGUCUCACUGUGAUUAGAUAUAGUGGCAGAGAGAACAACAUUAAGGGUUUUUGUGAAUUUAAGGCAGACAUGACACCCCUGCUUUUCUCUUCAUUUUUCUGUUUUCCCCUCUCUAUCCACUCACUAUUAUUGCAUGGAAUGGCUUUAAUUUACUUCUACCAUUUCCAAAACAUUUACUUAUUGCUUUAAAUUUUUUAAAAUAACUCCUCCUUGUUUUUCUCCUAUAAAUACCUCAGCUCUCUGAAUUCAUCUCCAUCUCAUACACUUCAAAAGAAAAAACAUUUUAACAAGCAAUGCUAGGUUAUUUAAUGAGUUUUAAUGGAUGAGUGGCUCCUGUUGGAGAAGCAGGGCACGUGCAAACUCGAUCAACAGAAAACUAACUGAUGAUCUGUUACUCUUUUGCACGCGCUCCCCUUCUCCAACACGGUCUUCUCAUCUAGUUCAGUAUGUGCAUGUGCUAAAUAUGAUCAGGCUUUUUGUAUUGCAAUGGUGAAAACUGAUGUUCUGGUUUCAAGCGACAGAGUCUGAUGUAACACUGUCACUGGAUAUUUAAAAAUGUUUACUGAAAAUCCUACGGUUGGACUUAGUCUCAGAAUCCAUAUACUUUGGAGAGUAGUUAUUACAGUUGUAGAGUGUGUCGUGUAAUUGUGUAUUACCUUCGCUUCUCUCGGACUCAUUAUGGAGCAAAAGUUUCAUUGCAUGAUCUGAAAUCAUGCACGUUAAUUUGCAUAAUAUGUAAAUUUAAAUUAUAUAUAAACUUUGUUUGACCUUUUAAUUAA
Mercurialis annua (annual mercury) is the source of this 878-nucleotide long non-coding RNA. RefSeq lists it as uncharacterized. The record is from RefSeq and is a predicted model, not a curated record. Lineage: Eukaryota; Viridiplantae; Streptophyta; Magnoliopsida; Malpighiales; Euphorbiaceae. The transcript is spliced from 2 exons.